GUCCUUGCCGUAAACGAUGUGGAUUAGGUGUCGGGGGUGUUGAUCCCCUCGAUGCCGACGAUAACUCAUUAAAUCCACCACCUGGGGAGUACGGUCGCAAGACUGAAACUCAAAGAAAUUGACGGGGACCCGCACAAGCGGUGGAGCAUGUGGUUUAAUUCGAGGCUACGCGAAGAACCUUACCCAGGCUUGACAUGUUUAGGACAGCGCAUGAAAGUGCGUCUUCCCGCAAGGGGACCUUUACACAGGUGCUGCAUGGCUGUCGU
This 266-nucleotide ribosomal RNA is filed under the name uncultured bacterium. Its description in RNAcentral is "partial 16S ribosomal RNA". It matches the Rfam family "Bacterial small subunit ribosomal RNA", at positions 793 to 1055 of the family's 1533-position model. The record is from RNAcentral.